Molecule: ribosomal RNA, 260 nt
Filed under: uncultured bacterium
Lineage: Bacteria
Description: partial 16S ribosomal RNA
Rfam family: Bacterial small subunit ribosomal RNA
Source: RNAcentral
AGUGGCGGACGGGUGAGUAACGCGUGGGCAACCUGCCCCAUACAGGGGGAUAACAGUUAGAAAUGACUGCUAACACCGCAUAAGCGCACAGGGCCGCAUGGUCCGGUGUGAAAAACUCCGGUGGUAUGGGAUGGGCCCGCGUCUGAUUAGCCAGUUGGCGGGGUAACGGCCCACCAAAGCGACGAUCAGUAGCCGACCUGAGAGGGUGACCGGCCACAUUGGGACUGAGACACGGCCCAAACUCCUACGGAAGGCAGCAG